AAAGCACUAGAAAAUAAUAUUUUAAUAUUUCUACAUUCUCGCACAUCUAUUAAACAUAAUUAAUCCACAAUGUUUCUUGCCACGUGGCAAGAAACUCUUUAUUCUUAGGUUAAUAGAUAGAUAAUCUAUACCUAUACCUAUUUUAUUAAUCCCCAAUAACGUAUUAAUUCUCUCUCCUUUAAUUCUCACCGUAUUAGGCAUCUCUUCAUCUCCCCCACCCUUCCCCUCCCCUCUCCUCUCCGGUAUAUUUAUUAACAUUUCAUGAAUUAAUGAUAAUCUACAUUAACGUUUCAUGGUAAUUAUAAUCAUAAUUGAUUACUCUACCAAUACGUUUUUAUCUUUUCAUANN
Molecule: long non-coding RNA, 349 nt
Filed under: Ananas comosus (pineapple)
Lineage: Eukaryota; Viridiplantae; Streptophyta; Magnoliopsida; Poales; Bromeliaceae
Description: long non-coding RNA (ACOM_LNC028911)
Source: RNAcentral